This 498-nucleotide unclassified non-coding RNA is filed under the name Hevea brasiliensis (rubber tree). Lineage: Eukaryota; Viridiplantae; Streptophyta; Magnoliopsida; Malpighiales; Euphorbiaceae. The record is from RNAcentral.
GGAAAAUCUAGUGGCUCCCAGAAGUUUAAGUAUAGGUCAAUAAUGUUUAAUAUCAAGGAUCCAAACAACCCAGAUUUCCGGAGGAAAGUCCUUACAGGACAGUAUUCACCUCACAGUAUUGUUGAUUUGAGCCCAGAAGAAAUGGCAAGUGAUGAAAGGCAAAAGGAGAACAAGAAGAUCAAAGAAAAAGCUUUAUUUAAUAGCCAGCUUGGAGGUCCUCCCAAGGCCAGCACAGAUAAGUUUAAGUGUGGUAGGUGCGGGAAAAAUCAGACCACCUACUACCAGAUGCAAACUCGGAGUGCUGAUGAACCAAUGACAACCUAUGUCACAUGUGUAAACUGUGAUAAUCGCUGGAAGUUCUGUUAAACUAGAUCUUGUUUGCAUUUGUGACUCAGUGGUAUGGAUGAAGAACUUCGUAGGUCCUUUCACUACUAUGAUGUAGUUUCUAGGUUAUUUUUUAAUUGUCUUCUUUGAGGCGGUCUUUGAUAUGCAUGGUAC